UUAAAAGCUUCCCUGCGACCUUUCUGUAUCACUCUGUCCAAUUUCGCCGGUAAAUUCGGAUUCAUUCCCGGACGCUUCUCUGAAAAAUUAAAUUGAUUCUUUUUAAUUAAAGGAAAAAUGUAAAUUGUGCCGCAAAAAUACUCAAAUUGUGCUUUCUACGCCAAGAAACAAAAGAUAAGUUUUCUUCAUUCGCGACAAGACCAAUUUGUAUUAAGCCGCACCGGUCGGGGUCGAGAAGGAAAAUAAUUAAUAACUUCCGUCCGAGAGUAGGAUUACGUGCCGAUCGCCGUCAACAAGAAGAAGCUUUACUUCAAGGUGGUGCAGGGACCGAGGGAGAACCAGACUGUGAAGACAAUGAUAGUGGCGUUAACGCCGCCGUUAUCCAAGGAUAUGUGAAUAUAUGAAUUAUUCCGUUAGUGGCGGGGAUAAUUCACAUAUUCACAAUUGACAGACUUCUCGAGGUGCCGAGCACCGAGCGCCGAACACCGAAUGGUUCUAAGUUUGUGAAAAUAGUGUUGUAGGGCAUGGUAGUGUAGGUGCCCUACAUCCCUGGCGAAAAUAGAGUGUUUAUUAAAAAUUUAUAAGAUGUUUGCUUAAAGUCGAGGAAAUGUUUUAAUUGAGCUUUAAAACAUUUAUUGAAUUGUUUAGGAAAUAGAAAUUUAAACAUGGAAUUGUUUAUCAAAUGUUACAGUUAUGUUUGAUAGACGUUCUGAAAGUGUUGUGUAAUAUUCGUUAUGUUUAAGAAAUGUUUAAGAGAUAUUAUGCAGUUUUCACGAUAUUAUGCAGAACAUUCCUUAAACAUUAUGAGAACACCACAAAACAUUUCCCGAACGUAUAUCAAACAUAACUGUGAACAUCUCAUGAACAAUUCCAUGUUUAAAUUUCCAUCUCAUAAACAAUUCAUAAUGUGUUUUAAAACUCAAUUAAAACAUCUUCUCAACAUUUAAGCAAACAUCAUAAACAUCUCAUAAACUUUUGAUAAACAUUACUUUCGCUGGGUAUAAUGUUUAUACAGUGUUUUCUUAUUGUUGUUAAGACAUUUGUAAUGACGUUUCCAAGUGUUUGGUGCAAGUUAAGAAUUUGUUCUUAAACUUAAUUUAAUAAACGUUUACAAAACAUA
Molecule: long non-coding RNA, 1120 nt
Organism: Monomorium pharaonis (pharaoh ant)
Lineage: Eukaryota; Metazoa; Arthropoda; Insecta; Hymenoptera; Formicidae
Exons: 2
Source: RefSeq, a predicted model, not a curated record